RNAcentral lists this non-coding RNA (62 nucleotides) under unclassified sequences. The record is from RNAcentral.
GCCUUAAUGCAGCUCCCCCAAAGGGGGAACGGUCACAAGCCCGUGGAAAUGCAGAGUGAGGC